UUUGCACGCAAUAACUUUGGGUCGGAGAACAAACGAGCAGUAUAAGAUCCCUCAGGAGCAUUAUUCUUCCUAUCGAUUAAAGUCUUUUCUAACUGACAAAGUCCUGAAGCUUGUCCAAAGCAAUGCAAGGUGUCAAGAUGACAAAAACCUUUACCGGUUUGAUAGACGACAAAGCGCAAGCAGUCUUCAUCACAAUCGACGUCAAUAUGAAUUAAGUGUUGAACAGCACCAGAAGAUGCGCCCUUGUACCACAAGCCACGUUUGCGGGAUUGAUAAACUCCAGUGCCAGUCUUCAAAGACUCAGCAACGCUUUCCUUGCUAGAAUACACGAGACCAAGUGCAAUACCGAGCUCAUUGACGACUAAAGUAGAAAAUAGUCCAUCCUCACGAUCAGUAUUGGCAGAUAUCAAAAUGAGAUCAGCUAAUGAUAACUUCUUGGGCUCUUCGGCAGGCUUCACUGUCAAGAAAGAACUUGACAGAACGGGAACGACAGAGUGAACAGAAAAAGAUUUCAGUACCUCCAUAGAUGGUUGUUCGGGGAACUCCAAAUAUAAAGUUCGGCCUCCACCCUCAGGCAUUACAGCUUUGUGAAUGAUCUUGCUGGCUCUUUCAAAAAAGUCAGGGGGAUAAUUCUCAGCACUGCCGAUCCAUUGAAUAGAACCAGCAACUUGUGAAAGUUUUUCAAUUUUUCCAAUAUCAGUAGUGUCUGUCUUCAAAACCAAACGAUUCGGAGAGA
Schizosaccharomyces pombe (fission yeast) is the source of this 736-nucleotide non-coding RNA. The record is from the annotation of a GenBank genome assembly. Lineage: Eukaryota; Fungi; Ascomycota; Schizosaccharomycetes; Schizosaccharomycetales; Schizosaccharomycetaceae.